This is a long non-coding RNA of Antechinus flavipes (yellow-footed antechinus), 308 nucleotides long. RefSeq lists it as uncharacterized. NCBI's taxonomy places the organism in Eukaryota, Metazoa, Chordata, Mammalia, Dasyuromorphia, Dasyuridae. The transcript has 2 exons. The record is from RefSeq and is a predicted model, not a curated record.
UGGAUUCAGAAGGUAUAAAUAACCCGGGAAGAAAUACAAAAAUGCAGAUAGUUCACAUUCGUUUCCCAGUGUUCUUUCUUUGGGUGUAGCUGCUUAUGUCCGUCAUUUAUCAAUUGAAACUCAGUUAGGUCUCUUUGUCAAAGAAAUCCACUUCUAUCAAAAUAUGUCCUCAUACAAUAUCGUUGUCGAAGUGUAUAAUGAUCUCCUGGUUCUGCUCAUUUCACUUAGCAUCAGUUCAUGUAAGUCUCGCCAGUCCUCUCUGUAUUCAUCCUGCUGGUCAUUUCUUACAGAACAAUAAUAUUCCAUAA